This 88-nucleotide non-coding RNA is filed under the name Pseudomonas sp. NFPP19. The record is from RNAcentral. Lineage: Bacteria; Pseudomonadati; Pseudomonadota; Gammaproteobacteria; Pseudomonadales; Pseudomonadaceae.
AUUUAUGGUGGCUACGUGCGGGAGAUCUUUGGAUCUACCGGGUUUGCUUCUUCCUGGUCUUGCAGGCCCGCACGUAGCCGCCACCCAU